This is a non-coding RNA of Rattus norvegicus (Norway rat), 17981 nucleotides long. NCBI's taxonomy places the organism in Eukaryota, Metazoa, Chordata, Mammalia, Rodentia, Muridae. The record is from RefSeq and is a predicted model, not a curated record.
UUGAGAGGGGGUGGGGUAAGUAGACAUCUUUUCACAUAAAAAAAGAGCGAAGUAAAUGAAGGGGUGUGGUUUAUAGGAGAGAUAGAGAAGCCAGCUUUGCAGAGUCAUAUCUCUUCCUUUGAAGCAGGAAGGAAGAUUGUCUACCCGUCCCUCUGAUGGACUUGGUUCCACGACACAGCAGGCCACUUAGAUUCUGGGCGAAUUAGCCUUGGACAUCAGCUCUGAGCUCAUUAUUUUUUUUUAUAUUAUAUUAAGCAGUCAGACUAGCACUUAUUUCUUAGUCUUACAGUUGAACUACAUUCAUUUAGUCAUUCAACAAAUGUCCGUCGAAUGUGUGACAUGUUCCAAAAUCUUGGAUGACACAAUUCCAGAACAGGUGGGUACAAAGCUGAACACAAGACAAUUCUGUUGCCAUGGAGCUAAGAGUGUUGUUGGGGAAAGGCAGCUAUGCAAAUGGAAAAUUGCAGUGUUGUGUGAUAGCGACCUUGCUCUGGGUAAGUGCUGGGCUCUGGAUGAGCCAUGAAGCCAAAGGACUUCCAGAAGAAGAAACAAAUGAGGCCAAAGGCACAUGAGCUAGGAAGAGACUGGACUUGGAUCUCAGAUCCACCUGAGUUGAGGCAAAGCUAGCGUGGACGCCUUCCAUCCUGAUUUUCUGGCAGUUUCAACAUGACUGCCACCUCAUAAUCCAAGACAGCAGGUAAGACCAAGCCUGCGUCCCAGCCUGUGGAAGGGAAGACGCAUCAAGGGAGGCACCAGCUUUCUCUAAGUUACACACAGAUUGUUGCUUGUAGCUUUUGACUAGAAAUUAGGCACUUAGUGAGAGUCAGCAGCAAGUGAGUCUGAGAAGUAAUGAGAAUUCAUGGAGCCAACUAUUCAUGGAGGCUGUUUCUAAGGAAGGAAGAUAAGGCACCCGAAGAGCCAUGGUCUCUGUCAUCGGAAUCCCUCUAAGAACCGAGGUGAGGUAAAUUCCUCUCAGAGCUGGACAUAUAAUUAAUCAUCCCAGUUAGGAUGCCUGGUGAGACCAAAAGUACCAAAACGGCUGAGCAGGUAUGAGCUGACUUGGAGUGGUUCCAGGACCUCCCUGUGAAUGGUGGAGUAUAAAGUCACCUCAAUAUAGAGGUCUCCUCUGUGAGUGGGUCGGUGAAGGUUGUUCCUACUGUAAACCCAGGGAAGAUGGCUUAGCCUUCCUCCUGGGGUACAUGUAUGCUCACCCUACACCCAACCCCAGCACAGAGCUGAAUGCUCUUUUUCAGAAGUACCAGUAUCUUCGCCUUAGGCACAUGUCUUCAAAGGCCAGCGGCACUGUCUACUGACUGCUUUGUACAUGGUAACUGUUUAACUUAUCCCCGAGUCUUUCUGCAGCCUUCGGAGUCCUGCAAGGAAGGAAGUAUGACCAUGUGCAACUGUGGUGAGCCCAUGGAGGCUUAGGGAGAUCAGGAGAUCUGCCCAAAGUCACUCCACAAAUAUCAGGAUCUGGUGCCCGCUGAGCUCUGCUUUGGUCACAGUUCUCUCAGACUCUGUCCCCAGUUUGGGGGGACACUCACUGCUAGCCUGUCUUCCCCAGGGUAUGAGCUAGGCUGCCUCAUCACUUGGGAAACCAUCUUGCACUUUCCAGGGGAUGCUCCUCUGAGUUAAAUCAAAUCUCCUCGGGGCUCCACACCCUCCCCUCUCCCCUGUACCAUUCUUCACGAGCCAUCAGGGUUUCUAUUCCUGUGCAGCCUCCUAGAUUUAUCCUUAGGUUCAUCGUGGACCUCAACCAACUGGACCAUCUCUGUGGCCUUCCCCAGGGGAGAAAUCAAGCAUGAGACAUGAACAAGGACCAAGAAUACAGGAGCAGAGAGGUUUGAUGGUGGAACGGGGAGGGGGGAGGCUUUAAGUUCUGCAGUGCUCUAGGGGUAAGACAGAGGAUCUGAGGAAUUAGCCUCAAAGAUGUGAAGGGGGAAGGGGAGAUAACCAGGGAUAUUUAGAGUGUUUUAGCAGAGUAAGAUCCCUAUAUAGGCUGGAGAGCUCGUACACAGAGUUGCAUCAGCUCACCAUGCACUCUAACAUCCUCCCCGAUGCGUGGGGAUGAGUGACUGAAGGGGACCUUAGCAUCUAUCCAGCCCUGUCGCUAUGCUACGCCAAGCACACAAUCGUAGUCUCAGCACUUGAGUGGCUGAGACAGGAAGAUUACAAGUUUAAGGCCAGUCUUGGGAUACAUAGUGACGCCUGUCAACAAAGUCAAACAAAAUACAACACAAAUUCAUAUCGUCUGAGACAUGUUUAUUAAUGCUCUUUAACUCAGUCAUCUAAAAACUAGUCAGUCAUCUGAUAAAGCAGCAAAACAUGGAAUAAAACAAUGAUGACAUUAAAACGCACCCCCCCCUCACGUAUGCAGCUGCUGAGGGCUUUUGUCAGCUAGCAGGACUGACUACACAUAAACAGCCCCUUGAGCUUAAUUGAAAAAUAGGCAUCGAGGGGACAUAGCUUGUGUGCUUCCUCCCUCUACCUCUAGAUGGCAGCAUAGAGCAGUGGUUAAGACUGGCCUUCUGGCCUUCAAAAAGAGUUGAGUGACCCAAAGCAUGCUGUUCAGUUUCUCCACGCAUAAAGCAAAGAGAAUGAUUAAAACCUACCUCAUUGGGUUAAGACUUUCUUGAAAGGUCUAGAUCAUAAUCAGUGCAUCCUCCCCGUCCACUCUCCCUCCUCCUCCUGUCGCUGCUAUUAUUAUUAUUAUUAUUAUUAUUAUUAUUAUUAUUAUUAUUACUAUUAUUACAUUCCACCACUCUGCUGUGAUGGGGAGCCACUCCUCUAUGUGUUCUCUAUGGUUACUUCCUAUGCCAUGAGAGGGAGCAACUUCACAUUGGGCUAGAAGCUGCGGUCACCCAGCCCUCCUCAGAAGAGAGGGAUGCAGCUUUUAGUUUUGAUCCUGUGACUCCCUAAGGCAGUGAAAGGCUAACACGGCCUGCUGCUGGCUGGUUCUGUGCUUAUUGAUCAGCAUCACAGGGUUGGGACUGGGGGUACUGUUCUAGAAGCACUCACUUUGAUUCCUCAAAUAAAUCCUCCCCCCGGGUCCUGCUAGGAAACUAAUUGAGGGUUGAUUCUGAUGAAUAAAUGCCUGGUCGCCGCCUUGAGAAAUGGACCACGCCGGCAGAUGGCUGGGGCUUGAGAAACGGUCACGGCCUUCCGAGGGGCCCAUCAAUAAUAGAUCGGCUCCAGCCCUGGGAGAGGGAAGCGUUUCUGCGGCAGGUAUGAAUUAUGGAUGCCGUUUAGGGUAAUGCGGAUCUAUCUCAGAGGUUCCGCUCAGUUUAUGUGCUAGUAAAAGCCGGCAAUUUGCCCGUGUUCCAGCUAUAAUUUGCGCUACAUUAAGGGACCCUCCUUUCCAUAAUGGAUGUGCGGUUGGACGCAAGCGCAGUAGGACCCAAAGGGCAAGGCAUGCUGGGCCGGUAAGAAGGCCAGGUGAAGGCCUGGGAACCAAUCACGUGGUAAGGGCCUCUUGGCUGCAGGAACAGAAGGAUAUUUUAGAUACCAAGGUCUGGGGAAGAAACCACACUCAAUCCCCAGUCCUCCCGUUGACUCGCCCAUCUUCAGAUGCACUUGAUGUAGGUCUUAAGGAAAGCCCAAAAGGAAACCUAUGACCUGCUGGGUCAGAAAAAUAACAGUUCUGGAAGGAAGCCAUAGACAGGUGGUCAAGAAUAGAUUCUAGAACUUUAGUUCUGCCUUCUCCAUUUGCUUGCUGUGUGACCUUUUACAAAGUAUGCCCCCUCUUCAUGCAUGGAUGUGUCGUCCUUUAAAUGGCACAAGGCUGACCAUUCUGUGCCGAAGUCAGACAGUUUGUCAGAGCCAACUGAUAAUCAGAAAAUCCAAGGGCUGGCUGUUAAAGAUGGCCAUCAUUAAAAAUUAAAUUUUAUAAACUUGCAAUUAAAAUUAAAGGCAAUAGAUACGACAGACUCAUCAAUUCCUAAUGAGUCUCCUCCAGUUUACUCUCUGUGCUCGUAGGACGAUUUGUGUCAUUUUCUUCUAUGUGGUGACGGCGAUACAUAAUAUACCUCCUUCCUCAUGACAACGUCGUCUUCAUAAGACGGGUGAUGUGGGAUUCCUCCACCUCGAGGCCUGUGAUGUCAUGUUGGUAGCUUGCCAUUGGCCAUGGCAGCAACAUUUACACCAAAGUUCUGCACCACUCUAGACAGAAUUAUUGUUAUGUCUCCAUCUUCUAUCCACAAACCAACGUCCCCAAGCCCUGUGCAACGUGGCACGUGAUUUCAAAGCAACAGUAACCAUGUCACCUGGGAGGAUUCACACAAUUGCCGGCUCCAUUCUGACCAAAUGAACCAGGAUCUGUGUUUUAACAAGAUCCCAAGUGAUUCGUGUGCAUGUUAGAAGGUUAAAGUCUCUCACCCAGGAAGCCACAGAAGGAACUGAAGACAGGCACUGGAGGCAGCAAUCCCAGUGCAACAGUGCCCACUGGCUGGCUCCCAGGCUCAUGCUCAUGUCUCUGAUACAGCCCUGGCCGGCCUGCCUAAGGCGUGGUACUACUCACAGCGAGCUGGGUCCUUCUGCACUGGUUUACAAUGAAGAGAGCGCCCCUCAGCACAGGCCGAAUCCGAUCAGUUCUUCAACCGAGAUUCCUUUCUCUAAGAUGUUUCAAGUUGACUGCCAAGCUCAGCCAUCACAGUGGCUUAUUGUGUGCAAUGGUGGCGCCCAUUUCAAGAUUAUACCCUCUUGCUUCAGCUACCUCCUCGCUGCCUCCUAGUCAUUGGUCAUUUUUUCUUCAAGAUGUGGGAAGUUAUGUGCUUAAGUAUGCACAGCAAUUGUUUCUGAGCUUCUUUGUGUCUUCUAUCCUUUCUCAGUGGAUGGGUUCAUCAUCUGUUUUUUUUUUUUUUAAAUAACAACAAUAUCACAAAUUUUCUGGGUGUUAGGUGCCAGUGUAAGGAAUGUAAAAUGGAUUAUUUUAACUGCCACGAGGGCUACAAAAUUAGCAUUGGCAUAUUCUACACACAAGGUGAGUUCUGUUCAGCGACGGAAUGACUGACACGUGUCCAUCAGCAGAGCUGGAAUUUGAGCCUGCGUUAGCCUGAUCUCUGAGUUUCAGCUUCUGUUUGUUUUCCUGGGAAGCUGUGCACAUUGUGCACUAUGCUCACUCUCUGUCUGUGUAACCAGGAGACGGGAAGAAGCCUCCACUCAAUCCACAGCUCGCUGAAUGUGUUUCUCCCAGAGACCUAGAAGCCAUGUUGUUGAAUCCUCUUCCAGCUUGGUCCUUCCUGCUGGCCAUGCCCCGUCGUGGUUCCGCAUGCUCCUGGUCUCUAUCAAAUUACCGGUGCUUCUCAUUGACUUGACAUCGUUACUUGACAGCUUAAAAUUUAAGCCUGAAGUGCUUAUGGGGUUCUGUCUUGCUUUUCCUUUAGGCUUCACAUUGUCCCCCAGUGGUCACAUUUAACCUGGGUGUUCCAGUAAUCAACCUCUCGACAAACGACUAAUCUGACUAAUCUUGGUGUUAUCUUUUACCUCAUGUUUCUUAGCCAAGUAGUAAAACCAUCUACAAUCUCUGGACUUCAGAUAACAAAUUCUGUUCACUUCUUCCAAGUUGUACUAACAAAUAUUCCUCAGGAAAGACUCCUAUUGUGGCUCAGUAUUCUAAUGGACUUCUGUAGUAAUUAUUUUCUUUCAUUUAAAAAAUCCAUUAAAUUUUAAAUUAUAGAUGUGUGUUUAUGUGUGUGUGUGUUUGUGUGUGUGUCUCUAUACGUACUUGAGUGUUGGUGCCUAUUGGAGGCCAGAAGCAGAAGUUGAAUCCUGGGAGUUAGAGGUACAAGUGGUUGUGACCAGCUGCGAUGGGUGCUGGAAACAGGCCUAGGGUCCUCUAGAAGGGUGGGAUAUAAUGUUAAAGACUCAGCCAUCUCUUCAAGCCCUGCAAUAAUUUCUUAGAGUUCUGCCUACUCUCAGUUUCUGUAUGACUGCCCAUCUCCACAAAGUAGACCCAGAUAUGCUAUUUUUACCACUGCAAACUUAAUAAAUACCAGAUUUAUUGGACAACCACUCCAUGACCUUCUGAUAUUGCCACAACUGGCAUAUCCACAUUUCUUUAAUUAUUAAAACUAAUGCGAUAAUUACCAGCACAGAGGAAUGCUCUUCCAUUUAAGGGUUUAUCUUAUAACUAUUCAGCAUGUGAAAUUUCUGCUUAAUGAGUUGAUAUGGACGAUCAUGGCAAGUAAUAAUAUGUAAACCGUUUUGUGUCCCCAGCAUGAGAGUGUUAAUCUUUUAUGCCUAUGUAGAUUUAAUUUUCUAAUAAUUCAUUAAAAUGUGUGUGUUUGUCAGUGACACAGAGUGCUACUUUUAUCUCUGUGUUCUGUAAAUCAGGCUUAAAUCAUUAGGUGACUCUACUCUCACGACAUCUCCAACACAUAUGCCUGUGAGUCUUCACCUGAGCUCGCCAGACACCAUUCCAAGCAGUUCCGAUGGUCAAACUUACUCAAUCCUGGGGACGAAAGUCUUUUAGCAGAGAAGAGAGCAGAGGAAUGGCGGGAGGUAACAGGGUCACCCAGCUGGUAAGCACCACAGGCAUGCUGACAAGGGGGCUAUAGAAUGGUGCUAACAGCUAUGUGCACAGUUCUAGUUGUGUUAUUAGUGUGCUUAGUGUAUGUGUAUGAGGGUGUCUGCAUAUCUGUGUGCACACGCAUGAGGCCAGAGGUCGGUGCUUGUGCCUUUCUCAAUUGUUUUCCAUCUCAUUGUUUUAAGGCAGGGCCUUUCGCUGACCUCAGAGCUUGAUGAUUCGGCUAUGGUGCCUAUCCCUGCCUCUCCUGUGCUAGGGUUACAAGUGAGCUUCUUCACAUUCAGCUUUUUACUAUGGCGCUGAGGGUCUGAACUCAGGUCUCCGUGCUUGUAUGACACCAAUUUACUGACUGAGACAUCUUCCCAGCCCUGCAAGACUAAAGUUUUGAACACUCCACCGGGGCCAUCUUUUCUUAUGACUUCAGCUAAUUUAAAUAACAUAGGAAUCAUUUGGCCUCUUCAAAGGGUUGAGAGAUGUGGAUGUGAAUCUCUGUAGGUAAGUUGCUCUUGGCCUCUGCAGUCUUCCACAGUCAGCCUUCUCUUGUGGGUUGUCUUGUCACAUCCUCCUUCCUCCUUCAGACUUCUUUCCAACUGUUGCCCUGGGCUCGCACAUAACUGCUCCAUUAUCUUGCAGCUAAAAGUCACUGUUAAUGAGGAAUCUGAUGCUAACUGGAUUGUGGUUCCCUCCCUUCCAUCUUUUGGUUCCUUCCUGUGUUCUUUCCGGAGCUAAUUAUUGCUCUAGCUAACCACCAUGAGUUUUGUGUGUACCGUAACACAAAUGUCUGACCGCCAGAGGUCUGUGGUGAGUGCUGCUUGCUCCUUGUGAGACCUCUGGGCAGACUCCGUUCCUUGGAUUUGUUCUGUUCCACACACUGAGCUUCUCUGACCCAGCAACAGCAUCAAAGACAGAACUCACACUCUGCCACGAAGUCCUUCCAUCAGUUCCCAAGGCCCAGAGUAACCCAAAGUGGGUCUGUUGUUCAGAAGCCACGAAGUUAUUUGCUUAAACAACCUGCAAAUCACAUGGUCUAUUUAAAAAUGUCAACAAUUCUAAGUAGAGGGACUCCUUGAAACUCUAGUCCUGCUUGGAUGAACAUCAGUAUCUUGGGUUUAGAUUCAGUAAAAAUAAAAAUAAAAAAAUACCUGUGGCUAUAGAUUCAUGUCAGUCUUUCGUAUGUUUUUAAUAACCAUUGUCCAAACACCAAUAAUGAAAAUAUAAACCCUUCUUGGUGCAAAAAAGACCAAUACCUUAUUUUAAAUCCAGCUUCCCCCAAGUAGGAUUUUACUUUACAAGUCUAAAGGUAACUGUCCCUUUUUGCUUGGAAAUAUGUCUGACUUGGGGGAAUGAGAGGUUGAGAGAUGCACCAGCUGGUGCCACUUCUUCAUGUUUCAAAAUCACGCCUGCAUUCAUUGAAAACAGUGAGUGCCAUAGGGCAGUGUGUGUGUGUUUGUGUGUGUGUGUGUGUGUGUGUGCGCAUGCACUGUAUGUGCACAUUGUAUAUGUGCCUCCUUGCACUGGGUGCGUGCUGGGCUUGACUGGCUGGGAGUUAUGGAUGCUUUAGGAGGGGGACCUGGUGAGAAGAAGUUACAUCAUUAAUGGGGGUGUUGAGAUAAUGGCCUCCUCCUUUCUGUGUUUUUGCUUUCACAAUAGUGAGGUGGGGAUCUUUGCCUCACAGUGGGCUCCACACCAGCAUGGUCUCUCUCACUGCAUCGUGCUUCACAACAGCAGGGACAAGUAAUCAUGGCUGGAACCCUCUGAAACCCUGAGGCAAAAUACAUCGCAGUCUUUUAGGGUGUUUGCUUCAGUUAUUUUGCUACCAGACCAGAAAGCUGACUGAUAAAUGGGGUUAAAGAAAGUACUGAUCCUGGACCUCUACAUGCCUGUAAUUGGGCAGGACUAUUCCAUUCUUCUGGGUCUACGAUGGCCUCCCUUGAAUUCCCUUGGGCAGCAAAAGCCUUUCUGCCCAAGCUUUUGUAUGGAAACGUUUCCAUUGCCUGAACAGUGAUUUUUUCUCCUACUGGUUUGGUAUCUUCCUAAGGACACUCUUCCCAGUGGUCUUUUAGUGCCCGUUAGUGUCCAAAUAUUUGAUUCUCUUGGGACCCUGCACUUCAUUUUCCCAGCAUGCAGCUCAGUUAUAAUUAAGAAUCAUGACUUUCUGUGUUUUAACUUUUGGAAUAAAUUUUUAAAAAAAUAUAAUAUUUUUAUUAAUCCUCUGAGAAUUUUAUGCAUUCACACAAUGCAUUUUGAUCACAUCUGUCUUCCCCCAACUCCUCCAAGAUAGACACAUUCCUUCUACAUCCUCUCCCGACUUCACAUUUUCUUGUUUUUUUAUAACUUGCCAAGCUGAACUAAUUCCUAUAUGAACAGAGUCCAUUCUUCUGUGUUACUAGAUCUCUACCCCUUGGCACACAGUGCACGUCACCACAGCCCAACAGCUCAUUGGUAGGGAAGGAAUGCGGUUACCUGUUUGUUAGUCACACCACUAGUGGCGGAUACUUCAUCGGCUUCCCUGUGCUUCCCCCUCCCCUUUUCUCAAGUGGGGGUAAUAAUAACCCUGGUCAUAGAGCUGUCAUGAGAGUCCAAUGAAAUAUGCAUAAGGCUUUUGCAAAAUAUCUUGCGUAUAGGAAGUGCAGUGGUAAAUAAAUCUUACCAAUGAGGAUGACAAUGACAAACACAAUAUUUCUUUUUAUUUAUGAAGCUAAGUAGGGGUUAUCAAGAAGAAAUUUUAAUAUAUAUUAAAGCCUUGACAUCAAGAGAGAGAGAAAAGGUUUAAGAAAGGACAAUACUACACAUCCUAGAGUGUGCAUGAGUGUCUUGAGUGUCUCCACAGUGUCCCAAGGAGGCUUUGAGGGAGAUGCAAGUUCAGUCUAUUUGGGGUAGGUCUGGAAGGGUCCAUAAUAAUAAGUGAAGCCAGAGAGUAAUUCUGGACUAGGUGAUGAGGGAAAGAACAGUCUAAAGAAGGGAUAUUUGGGCCAAGACAUUCAUGAUAGGAGGCAAGGGGUCUUGGGAAAGUCCCCAGGGAACCAGAAGUACAGUGGGCUUGAGGGGUUUGAAAACCAGAUUUGGUUUCCCUGAGGAACUGCAAAGAGACCAGAGUGGUAGGGCAGACUGAGCCAAGGGGAAAUGAUGGGUCUUUACAUCAUAUCAAGGAGUUGUGGUCUUAAGUGGAGGUGCUGGAUGGUGGUAAGAAGGCAGCAGUAUAGUCUGAAUUUAAAGGGGUAUUCUAGAUGUACUAUGUGGAGAUCCUACUGUAAGGAGACUAUUGGACAUGUGAGCAGAGUGUGGUAGGUAGAGUAGGAUUGUCAGAGGGAGAAAAUGGCACUAGAACUGGUUGGUAACGCACAUGCAUUUUUUAAGGAACAGAGAAAUUCCAGGGUAUCAGGAGCCUGGUGGGUUUAGAGAGCAAUGCCUUUGCAAAAGCGGCUGGGUCCCACAGUUAGAUAGGCUUGGACUUUGUCAUGGAGAAAAGAUGAUGACUGUGGACUGGUAUAAAAGAAGGAUCGAGUCUCAGCUGUUCAUGGUCCAACCAGAAAAUCAUACACCUUUCUAGGUAUUUCAAACAGAUAAUACAGGGAAUUGGCCACAUAGGUGAAAGAGGAGACAAGAAACCAACCAUGAGUGGUGAAGCAGCUUCUAGUUAUGGAUGGCAGGAACCACUGUUUUGUCUGGGGUAAGAGGUGAGAUGCUAGCGAGGAGGUGCUUGGUACUGAGGAAAUUCUAACAUUAGGACUGUUCAGUAGGGACUUGAUCCAUUGUUAGGGUUUUGGUCAGGAAUGUUAUUCACCACAUGCCAGAGGCUCAUGUGUUUUGAAAUGCUUUGUCCCUAAAGCAACAGUGCUUAAAGAUCUUUCUAGUAGAAACUAGAACCACGGUAGGACAAGGAGCUAGUGGGAACUAGAUCCAUGGUGGGGUCCCUCCAGCUAAUCUCAAUCCAUGGAAGAGAUGCUGUAGCUCCCAGAGUCCCUGACUACAGCAGGGAGACUUGGAAGAAACAGCCCGACUUCUCUCUGUCUCAGUCUACCUCUCCUGGCAAUCAUUAUUCUUGGUCAAACUUGAUCAGAAUCCAGCUAGCAGUGAGCCUGAGAAAUCUGCCUUACAGAGAAGGUCAAGACAGGGCUGUGCACAGACAGGGCAGACCUGGCUCACAAGCCAGUCUUCUACUGAACUCACAGAAGCAGCGGUAUUCAUGAAGGAUUAGUAGACACCAGAGAAACUGGCUAGAGAUUCAGCACAGGACUGAAGAGGAUCCAUGGAUGAAGGUCUUAAACUAAAGCUGUUUGAAGACAGAGGGGUCUUUGAAGUAGCAGGGAUUAUGGGGCUGCCAUAUGUGCUAACCAGGAAAAGGACCGAGUCUCAGGGACACUCCUUUAACUAGCAGCAGCAGAGUUAGGUAACAGCUAGAAAUAUGUUAGAUGAGCUACAGAUAAGAACACUGCUUUAUAAUGGAAAUAUGGGAAGGAAGACAUAUAAAUUUAUAUGGAGCAGACUUGGUUAUUGGAAAGAAAGGAAGGUCUGGGUAGCCCAUAAAGGGAUUGCUUCUUCUGAAUUGGUUGGUGCUAUAAGCGAGGUGUGGUGGUACUUAGGGCUGUGUGACAGAAUUUGACAGGAUUUUACUAUGUAGUCAAGAAUUUAAAAUGCUGUUGGUCCUUGGCUUAUUAAGGGAUGAUCUGCCUGCUCCAUGGCUGUCUUCCCUUCUGUGCUCCAACCUUUGUGGUUAAAUCUUAGAAUCCCUUUCUUACCAAGUAUUUGAACUAGAAUAGUGGGAGGUCGGAGGGAAUGUGGAUUCAGAAGACCGUCCCUCAAGCCUAGGCCAGCUCUUGAAUACAGAGUGAGGGGAAGAUAUUAGGCGGCUCAUGUUGUGUCCAGUGUCAGAUUCUAGGCAAGGGGGAACAGUGACAGUGGGGAACUGACUUCACCUUUCUGAGGUUCUUUGCACAGGUCUCUGUCACGGCUCGAUAUGGAGUGUCCUCCAGACUCUCGUUGGUGCCCAGAACAGCAGUGUUUAGAGGGGGAGCCAUUGAGAGAUAGUUGAUCAUGAGAGCUUUUACUUCAUCAAUGUAUUAGUCCAGCUUAAUGGGAUACCAUAAGGUAGAGCCUGGCUUGAUGGAAUAGGUCAUUGGAUGAGGGUGGAAGGAACAUGGCUAUGACUUUGAAGGCUAUAUUUUGUCUCCAAAUCCUUCUCCCAAACCCCCCUCUCCUUCUUAUCCUUCAUGAGGUAAGCAGCCCUCUUACCUAUCUUAGUUUAAAUGGCCUGGUUGCUACCUAUUUGGGGUACUGAUAAAAGAAUGAACUGAGAUAACACAAUACAGAAAUAACAUAGAAUAAUCAUUUAUUCUUAAAUAUUACCAGAACAGGCUUGCUUUUGUAGGAAAAUUUGGCCCAUACUACCUUGCCACUAAUGUGAACUUCAUGAUAACUAUUAAUAUUUAAGGUAAUGUUAAUAUAAUAAUGGGCCUAGGUGAUCAUGAGAGUGAUGGUGAGAGUGAUGGUGAGAAUGAUGGUGAGAGUGAUGGUGAGAGUUAUCGUGAGAGUGAUGGUGAGAGUGAUGGUGAGAGUGAUGGUGAGAGUGAUGGUGAGAGUGAUGGUGAGAGUGAUGGUGAGAGUGAUGGUGAGAGUGAUGGUGAGAGUGAUGGUGAGAGUGAUGGUGAGAGUGAUGGUGAGAGUGAUGGUGAGAGUCAUGAAGCAUUGAUGUUUAAUGGACUUGAAUUCAAAUACAGUCACAUUUCUUGACAUCUUGGACUCAGAGCAUGUUAAACUCUUUGGGCCACAGUCUAUGUGUUGGUUUAUGUCCAGCAAUUCCUAUUUGAGUGUUGGGGAGACUCAGGUAUAUUUAAGUCUGUCUUAUGAAUGCCACACCGAUGGGUAGUAACUAUGAAGUCCCAGUCUCUAGAAAACCUCUGGGGCUAAUGGAAGAAGGGCACACAGUGUUUGAUCCUGAAUCACUGAGGCCUUGUUUUGGUCUUUCACAUUCUCAAAUUGAGUUUUGCAUCAUUAAGGGAGUUGAGAGAGAUUCUCAGGUUUCCUGGGCUUAGGAGCCCAUCCCAACCUCUCAUGAUGUCAGAUGGGGCCAUAACACAUAUUUCCAAAGUAGGUAGAGUACUAAGGACCAGGUGAGAACAUAUGCUUUUGGGGACAGCAGUUGUCCUCUGAGGACAUGGAUUUGACAUGAUGAGAGCAUUCUGAGUUUACUCACAAACACCGAGUGGCUUGGGGAUCAGCUCAGCCCCAAGGUUUUACAUGGACGAGUCUGAGCACCUUAGAGGUGGCAUCCUAUGCACAAAGAGCCACUAUUCCUCUGCUAAUUUGAGCAUAGGUGAGUGAAGCCAAUUAUCUUUGCCUACACUUCUUUGUGUAUUUGCAAGUUAUUGAUUACCUAUUUUAUGCCACUUAUACCCAAAUGUACUAUGAUAAGGCAGCCAAGUAGAGGUUCCCCAGGCCUCAUUCUAACCAGAAACUCAGCGAGGACAUGGAAUGUCUCCAAAGGCUUGCGUGUUAAAGGCUUAGUCACAGCUUGGCACCAUAUUGGGAGGAGUGGUAAACCUUAAGAUGUGGAGCCCACUGGGAGAUUUCGGGUCAUUGGAGAUGUGUCCUUAUAGGGGAGAGUGAAAUGCCUCUCCCUUUCUCUUCCUUUCCUGCUGAGUUCCAGCGUAAUGUGCGAGGUUUUGUUCUACUACACAGUUACUUUCCUCAUUGCUGUGUUAAAAUACUCCGACAAAAACAAUUUAAUAAAGAAACUAUUUGGGGCUUACACUUCCAGGGCACCACUCAUUGUGGCGAGGAAGGCGUGGAGGCAGGGGCAUGAAGCUGCUGGUCACAUUGUAUAUCCACAGUCGGGAAGCAGAAGGAGACAGACUACUCCUCAGCUCACUUUCUUCUUUUUAUUCAGUCCUGGACCCAGCUCAGGAAAUAGUUGGUGCUUGCCAGGAUAUGUUGGGUCUUCCUACAUCAGUUAACUUAAUCAAAAAAGCCUGCACGCACAUGCCCACAGACUCCUUACCUAGACGAUUCUAGGUCCUGUUGGCAUGUCAGUCAACGGGAACCAUCACGUGCUCCAUGACAUCCCGCCACAGGAUUCAAAGGAACAGGCACCAACUGGCUCUGGCCUGAAUCCUCCACAACUGCGAAGCAAAGUAAACCUUUCUCUUUUUAAGUUGACCAUCUCAGGUAUUUUGCUACAAUAACGGAAAGCUGGCUGACACAUCGAAAACAAACAGGACAAUGUAACCGGGGGUGGUGGGACAUAUCUCACAGAAAAAUAAAAUAGAGACAAGGAGCUUGUAUGCAAGAUAGUGGACCAGGAGGCCUUUCUGAGAAGUCCUAGCCCAUACCUGAGGGCUUAGGUGUGAGGAGAUGGACACACACAGUGAGAGGAAAGGAGUGCCGAUUGAUCUAUCUAUUGAGGGAACAGAGAGUGGAUGCAAUGCCUGUGGAAGCCAGUGGUGGAGCAAUUCUUCAUGUCGUGGUGAAAUCCCCCACCCCAAACCCCAUCCAUAAAACUAUUUUCAUUGCUACUUCAUAACUGUAAUUCUGCUCCAGUUAUGAAUUGUAAUGUAAAUAUCUAUGUUUUCUGAUGGUUUUAGGCAGCUAGUGUCCCCAUAGACAGAACUUCUGGAGGCGCCCUGCCCAGUGGCGUCUUCAAGGCAGAGUUUGGUUUUCAUCCUGGGUGAUCUGGUCGCCAUUCCUGUGCUGUAAGACCUGGGAGGAGCAGGCUCGGGGUGUGACCUCAUUUACAUUUCAAGAGUGCUCAGAAAUCUUAGGAAGCAAUAUUCUCAGCUGACUUAGGAGAAUUAAUUAGUUAAUAUCUGCAUGACACUUGACAAUCUUGGAGGAACAGAACUUAUUAUUAUUAUUUCCCCAUGGGAGCCCUGUAAAUGGAGGUCACAGCACCUGGGAUUCUUGCCCAAAGGAGGCAGAGAUGAGGAGUAGUCCACAGUCCCUCGCUAAAGAAACAUUUCUUUCUCUGGCCUGCUGGGAAAUCUCACUUCCAUUUUUAUAAGGCCAAAGAGGAGCUUGGAAACAGAGCCAGUUCUGACUCUGUAAUUAAUUUCAAAGAAUGUCUUUUACCUUCAUGGCUUAUAAAGAUAUUAAAAAAAAUAACUUUUGUUUAGGUAGCACCUCUCUCCAGGGAGGUUGCUCAUCAGCGAGGAGUUUGGUCCCUCGGCCCUGCCGGGAAGUAGCUAGGAAACCACACCUUUUAAAAACAUUUUUAAAAUUUCUAUUGCUUAUUCUUGGGAUUGUAUUCUAACUACAAUAUUUCAUCCUUCCCCUUUCUCCCACCAAUCCCUCCAUCUGCCCCUCUUCCUUCUCCUUCAAGUUCAUGAUCUCCUUUUUCAUCAAUUACUACUGUAGGUAUAUAUGUAUUUGUACAUUGUUUUCACUUUGAAAACAUGUGAAAAGUGAUACAAAAGGUUUCUAAUGAACCUACAUGAACCCAGCUAUCAACAGCUGUCUGCCCUCUGUCUCCUUCCUUACUCUUGCCUCCAAAUCCACAAUUUAGAUUUUUUAUGGCAUUUUAUAUGUGUAUAUUGUCUGUCUGUCCACCCGUCCAUCCAUCCAUCCGUCCGUCCGUCCGUCUGUCAUUCUGUGUCUCUCAGAUUCCCUGGAGCCAGAGUUAUAGUUACAGGCAUUGUGAGGCAUCUGACAUGGGUGCGAGGAACUAAACUCCAGUCUUGAAGAGCAGUAAGCUCUCCCUAACCAACCUCUAAAUUAUCUCCCCAUCCCCCGAUAACUUGUGUGUGCACUGAUGGUUCUCAUCCAGUUCACUUUGCCCUUUUAUCCUAAUGGCAGCCAAAGGGGAUUGUCCUUUUCCUCAAAGCCACUUACACCACGCACCAACCCACUCACAGCUGAGUCCUGUCGACAAUACUGUUUCAGAUGAGGAACCUGGAGCCAGGCUGCGUCUUGUAACAAUACUGUAUGUAAGAGGCAAGGUGGGGACUCAGACCCAGGCAACGUGGUGCCAGAAUGUGUUGCUAAAACAGCACCGGGCCUCGGGAUUAUAAAAAACUGACCAGGAGGGCUCUGUAGACUCCUUAAGUAUCCAGGGCACCACCCUGGAGGAACACUCUUUAUUACUUAUUUACGUUUUGGGCAGUAAAAGCAUUUUGCUUUUUUUUUUUUUUAAUGUGAAGUGGUGGGUGUAGGAGGUGUGUGGGUGAGAAGGAGAAAACGCCUUUUAUGGAUCGUCUGCUAAACCCUGUGAAGUCGUAGCUGUGUCUCAGUGCCAGACGGCUGUGCCUGUUGACUUAAUGGCUCUGAAAGAUGACAAGGCUUAAAAAAAAUCGACUGUCACUGCAGAACUGGGAACAGAUUGAAAUAGAGUGCUUGAGUCACCUGUUAAAGAUGCCACUCUGGGUCCCUGUCCUACAGUGUCCAGUUAGAGCCAGGGACACAUUAAAAACAUAUCAACUUUGCUUCGAUUCUGACACAGAAGUUCCCCUGUCCCCUAGGAAGAGACUGUGCGGCAGACAUUGCUUCUUGAUAAACACCCCACUUUAGGCGGCUGCUUGCUAGCUGAGGCAGGCAGCUGAGGCUCAGAAAGGUCUCUGGUUCAGCCAUCAGUAAAUAGGUUCCACACAGAACUUGUGGCAAAAGAGAGCAGCUAAAGACUUCAGUGCCUGCACGGAUUUUAUGUCCACUCUGUAUCAAAUGACCCACGACUAAGUCUCUUGGCAUACCCAGCACCCAUAGCCCCACGCAUGCUCAGCCUCCUGCCGGACAAUGUGGAAGCCCAACUUCUCACCAAGCCUUCUUGUUACUGUCCCCAGGCUUGGGGACAUUAGAUGUAAAGACAUUCUCACCAGGAAGGGCCCAAUGUCCCAAAGGGGCACGAGAUCAUGCCACAUAAAUUGCCAAAACUUGGCUGAGCCAGUCAGGCGCCAGCAGAGGCCAUGUGGGCUCCUUAAGAAUUAUUGUGUAAAGGGUGCGAUGUACGUCUAGUUUGACAAGGAGGACUUGAGGAAGGCACUGGCGGGUUUUCAGGAAUGAUGGUAGAAGGGGCCAGAAGGCAAAUGUACUGAUCCUGAUGAGGAAAGUCAGCUGACUUUGACCCCUCACCCUUAGUUACCUUGCAAAGUGACUCAGCUUCUCUAUGCUUACAUUUUACCUGCCUCUUAUGUGUAUAUAUGUGUUGUGUUGAUUGUUCCCAUUCAUGUGUUUUGUGCAUGUAUGUGCAUGUUUGUGCAGGUAGAGGGUAGAAGUUAAUGUCUUCCUUGGUUGUUCUCUGUCUAUUUUUUUCUUGAGAUAGAGUCUCUCACUGAAACUUCAGCUUACUGAUAUAGCUAGGGGUCUGGCCAGUGAGCUCCAAGGAGUUGCUUGUCUCUUCUCCAUGAUCCCUCACUGUCUCUGGGGUUCCAGACAAAUGCGGCCAUAGUUUUACUUUUACAUGUGUGCUGGAGAUUUAGAUCAGGUCUUCAAGCUUGCACAACUAUUACUUCACCACAGAACCAUCUCCCUAACUCCUAGAUUACCAUCCCUCAAUUUCUCCAUGUUAGCUAAAAUUCACUAAGCAGCGUCCACACAGUCCCAGAUUCUUGCAGUUUAGACUGAGCUAACCCAGGAGGCCAAUGGCAAACUGAAGCUCUGGUGAUGACUCAGUUGGCAAAGUGCUUGUCCCCAAAGCAUGGGGACCUGAACUGGAUCCCUAGAACCCACAUGAAAAGCAUGUUGUAAGUUCCCACAACCCCAGUCCUGCAGCAUGCUGGCCAGCUGCAUGGGUGAGUUAAUGAGCUCUAGGUUCUGAGAGACCCUGUUGCAAAAAUUAAGGUUAAGGGCAGUUGAGGACAGCAUUUAGUGUUGACCUCUGGCCUCCUUGACAUACAAAUGCUUUCAUGCUCUCUCUCUAUUUCUGUCUCUGUCUCUGCCUGUCUCUGUCUCUCUGUCUCUCUCACACACAUUUUCAACUGGAAGAUAGUGAGAUGAAUGUAUAUGGGACUGUGGGAUGGUAUGGCGAGGAAAUGCUAGGAACUGUGGACGAUGAAGGAAUAGGUCAACUGCCUUCUCUGAUGUAUCAAAGGGUUCUUGACUUCCCUUGUGGAUAGAAUUGAGCAGAAGGAAAAGCAUUCCACUCCCACAGUGUGUACAAGGGCUGAUGGCUGUUUGCUUUUACAGGUUAGGAAGGUCACAUAUGCUGGAUGGAUGGCAAUGGAAGUAAGCUAAGAGAGUUGAGGGGCAUCUUGACUGGUAGGUAGGUGGGGACUCAGUGAGAUGAGGGGAAGCUCUGAGAGCAUCGUCCUACAAUACAAAGAGGGAAGUGAGCCAGGAGCACUGCUGAAGUUCAUCCCCAGUCAUCUGAACACCCUAUCCUCAACUGUGUGGCACUGGCCUUGCAGGCAAGGUGCCAAGGACACAGGUCUCCACCAGUGAUAGUCAAUGGGGACCUGCCAUAAGACAAUGAAGGACAAAGUCAAAAUGGAUAUCACAAAAUGCGAGCCUGCCUGUUCCAUGCCAAGGGACGACA